GACGAACGCUGGCGGCGUGCCUAAUACAUGCAAGUCGAACGAGAGCGACCGGUGCUUGCACUGGUCAAUCUAGUGGCGCACGGGUGAGUAACACGUGGGUAACCUGCCCAUCAGAGGGGGAUAACAUCCGGAAACGGAUGCUAAAACCGCAUAGGUCUUCGAACCGCAUGGUUUGAAGAGGAAAAGAGGCGCAAGCUUCUGCUGAUGGAUGGACCCGCGGUGCAUUAGCUAGUUGGUGAGGUAACGGCUCACCAAGGCCGUGAUGCAUAGCCGACCUGAGAGGGUGAUCGGCCACAUUGGGACUGAGACACGGCCCAAACUCCUACGGGAGGCAGCGGUAGGGAAUCUUCCGCAAUGGACGCAAGUCUGACGGAGCAACGCCGCGUGAGUGAAGAAGGUUUUCGGAUCGUAAAACUCUGUUGUUAGAGAAGAACAAGUGCUAGAGUAACUGUUAGCGCCUUGACGGUAUCUAACCAGAAAGCCACGGCUAACUACGUG
This 498-nucleotide ribosomal RNA is filed under the name uncultured bacterium. RNAcentral's name for it is "partial 16S ribosomal RNA". It matches the Rfam family "Bacterial small subunit ribosomal RNA", at positions 28 to 507 of the family's 1533-position model. The record is from RNAcentral.